AUUAAACUCAACUUCUUUGUAGAUAAAGGAACUCCUAUAUAUUUGAAUGGGAGUUCUCCACUUGUAAGGCCUAAGCACUUCAAUAUUUGGUGCCUAGUUGUGUCCUGUACACCUCCAAAAUAUGCUUCACUCUUGCUUGGAUUAGCUUGAAAUCCAGAUGCUUUAGUGAAUUGUUUGAACUUCUGUUGCACUGCUUGUACAAAUUUCAAGUCACCUCUAACA
RNAcentral lists this long non-coding RNA (222 nucleotides) under Nicotiana benthamiana. RNAcentral describes it as "long non-coding RNA (NBEN_LNC002340)". Lineage: Eukaryota; Viridiplantae; Streptophyta; Magnoliopsida; Solanales; Solanaceae. The record is from RNAcentral.